AGAGUUUGAUCAUGGCUCAGAAUGAACGCUGGCGGCGUGCUUAACACAUGCAAGUCGCACGAGAACGCUUCAGCUUGCUGAAGUAAAGUGGCGCACGGGUGAGUAACGCGGAAUCUAUCUCUGAAUUGGGGAUAACAUUGCGAAAGCGAUGCUAUACCGGAUGAUAUCCAUUAAACCUCGGUUUUUUGGAUCAAAGGUGGCCUCUACAUGUAAGCUACUGUUUGGAGACGAGCCCGCGUACCAUUAGCUUGUUGGAGGGUAACGGCUUACCAAGGCAACGAUGGUUAGCUGGCUGAGAGGAUGAUCAGCCACACUGAACUGACACACGGUCCAGACUCCUACGGAGGCAGAGUGAGGAAUUUUGCGCAAUGGNNGAAACCCUGACGCAGCAACGCCGCGUGAGUGAUGAAGCUUUCGGGUCGUAAAGCUCUGUCAAGUGGGAAGAACCCGCGCCGCACAAAUAGUGCGGGGCGCUGACGGUACCACUGAAGGAAGCACCGGCUAACUCCGUGCCAGCAGCCGCGGUAAUACGGGGGGUGCAAGCGUUAUUCGGAAUCAUUGGGCGUAAAGAGCGCGUAGGCGGUCUUCUAUGUCAGGUGUGAAAGCCCGGGGCUCAACCCCGGAAGUGCACUUGAAACUGGGAGACUUGAGUAUGGGAGAGGGAAGUGGAAUUCCUGGUGUAGCGGUGAAAUGCGUAGAUAUCAGGAGGAACACCGGUGGCGAAGGCGACUUCCUGGACCAAUACUGACGCUGAGGCGCGAAGGCGUGGGGAGCAAACAGGAUUAGAUACCCUAGUAGUCC
This 801-nucleotide ribosomal RNA is filed under the name uncultured bacterium. RNAcentral describes it as "bacterial SSU rRNA". It matches the Rfam family "Bacterial small subunit ribosomal RNA", at positions 8 to 796 of the family's 1533-position model. The record is from RNAcentral.